RNAcentral lists this ribosomal RNA (252 nucleotides) under uncultured bacterium. RNAcentral describes it as "partial 16S ribosomal RNA". It matches the Rfam family "Bacterial small subunit ribosomal RNA", at positions 15 to 257 of the family's 1533-position model. The record is from RNAcentral.
GAUCCUGGCUCAGGAUUAACGCUGGCGGCGCACAUAAGACAUGCAAGUCGAACGGACUUAAUCGAUUCUUUUAGAUUCGAAGCGGUUAGUGGCGGACUGGUGAGUAACACGUAAGUAACCUGCCUAUUAGAGGGGAAUAACAACGAGAAAUCGUUGCUAAUACCGCAUAAGCUAGUAGUACCGCAUGGUACAGCUAGAAAAGGNGAAAUCCGCUAAUAGAUGGCCUUGCGUCCGAUUAGCUAGUUGGUGGGG